GUGGGGAAUCUUGCGCAAUGAGCGACAGCUUGACGCAGCAACGCCGCGUGGGGGAAGAAGGCUUUCGGGUCGUAAACCCCUUUCAGUUAGGACGAAGCUUCAUUGGUUAAUAACUGAUUGGAGUGACGGUACUUUCAGAAGAAGCCCCGGCUAACUACGUGCCAGCAGCCGCGGUAAUACGUAGGGGGCAAGCGUUGUCCGGAAUCAUUGGGCGUAAAGAGCGUGUAGGCGGCCUGAUCAGUCUGCUGUGAAAGUCCAGGGCUUAACCCUGGAAUGCCGGUGGAUACUGUCAGGCUUGAGUCCGGAAGAGGCGAGUGGAACUCCUGGUGUAGCGGUGGAAUGCGCAGAUAUCAGGAAGAACACCAACGGCGAAGGCAGCUCGCUGGGACGGUACUGACGCUGAGACGCGAAAGCGUGGGGAGCAAACAGGAUUAGAAACCCCAGUAGUCC
RNAcentral lists this ribosomal RNA (450 nucleotides) under uncultured bacterium. RNAcentral describes it as "bacterial SSU rRNA". It matches the Rfam family "Bacterial small subunit ribosomal RNA", at positions 354 to 796 of the family's 1533-position model. The record is from RNAcentral.